RNAcentral lists this ribosomal RNA (497 nucleotides) under uncultured bacterium. Its description in RNAcentral is "partial 16S ribosomal RNA". It matches the Rfam family "Bacterial small subunit ribosomal RNA", at positions 28 to 507 of the family's 1533-position model. The record is from RNAcentral.
GAUGAACGCUGGCGGCGUGCCUAAUACAUGCAAGUCGAGCGAACAGACGAGGAGCUUGCUCCUCUGACGUUAGCGGCGGACGGGUGAGUAACACGUGGAUAACCUACCUAUAAGACUGGGAUAACUUCGGGAAACCGGAGCUAAUACCGGAUAACAUGUUGAACCGCAUGGUUCAACAGUGAAAGACGGUCUUGCUGUCACUUAUAGAUGGAUCCGCGCCGCAUUAGCUAGUUGGUAAGGUAACGGCUUACCAAGGCAACGAUGCGUAGCCGACCUGAGAGGGUGAUCGGCCACACUGGAACUGAGACACGGUCCAGACUCCUACGGGAGGCAGCAGUAGGGAAUCUUCCGCAAUGGGCGAAAGCCUGACGGAGCAACGCCGCGUGAGUGAAGAAGGUCUUCGGAUCGUAAAACUCUGUUAUUAGGGAAGAACAAAUGUGUAAGUAACUAUGCACGUCUUGACGGUACCUAUUCAGAAAGCCACGGCUAACUACGUG